UCCUAGGUAGUAUAGUGGUGAGUAUCCCCGCCAGUCACGCGGGGAACCGGGGUUCAAUUCCCCGCCUGGGGG
This 72-nucleotide transfer RNA is filed under the name Anaeromyces robustus. RNAcentral describes it as "tRNA-Asp". It matches the Rfam family "tRNA". From Rfam's summary of the family: Transfer RNA (tRNA) molecules are approximately 80 nucleotides in length. Their secondary structure includes four short double-helical elements and three loops (D, anti-codon, and T loops). Lineage: Eukaryota; Fungi; Neocallimastigomycota; Neocallimastigomycetes; Neocallimastigales; Neocallimastigaceae. The record is from RNAcentral.